CCUACGGGAGGCAGCAGUGAGGAAUAUUGGUCAAUGGACGAGAGUCUGAACCAGCCAAGCAGCGUGAAGGAUGACUGCCCUAUGGGUUGUAAACUUCUUUUAUAUGGGAAUAAAAUGUUCCACGUGUGGGAUUUUGUAUGUACCAUAUGAAUAAGGAUCGGCUAACUCCGUGCCAGCAGCCGCGGUAAUACGGAGGAUCCGAGCGUUAUCCGGAUUUAUUGGGUUUAAAGGGAGCGUAGGUGGAUUGUUAAGUCAGUUGUGAAAGUUUGCGGCUCAACCGUAAAAUUGCAGUUGAAACUGGCAGUCUUGAGUACAGUAGAGGUGGGCGGAAUUCGUGGUGUAGCGGUGAAAUGCUUAGAUAUCACGAAGAACACCGAUUGCGAAGGCAGUUCACUGGACUGCAACUGACACUGAGGUUCGAAAGUGUGGGUAUCAAACAGGAUUAGAUACCCCUGUAGUC
This 460-nucleotide ribosomal RNA is filed under the name uncultured bacterium. Its description in RNAcentral is "partial 16S ribosomal RNA". It matches the Rfam family "Bacterial small subunit ribosomal RNA", at positions 338 to 795 of the family's 1533-position model. The record is from RNAcentral.